GUUGUUGUGAAAUGACAGAAUUCAGUUGAAUUUUAGAUAAUUAACUAUCAACUUUAAUCAAAUGUUUAGAUUUAGAAGAUGCAGAUCUCUUCCAUUGGUCCAAAUUGAAUCAUAAACUAAGGAAAUGAAAUUACAUAAACAACAAUUGAUUUCAAUAUUAUCAACCUUUCUACAUGUUCUAGCUGUUCUCUUUUUUCAUUCUUUAUAUAAAGACUAUCAAAAAAUACCUCCCCUUUUCCCAAAAAAAUAUAAUUAAAUAGAAACAAGGGCCGUCUUUCCCCUCAGAGCUAUUCAGCUCUUUGAUUUGUAAUUGUUAUGGGGGUUAAAAAUCAUGAGGAGCUUUUUUUCACGAGCUCUGUCCAAUUCAGAAGUCAUGAACCCUUUACCAUUUAUAUUGCUGAUUUGCAGAAAAAACAAAGCGAUGUGUACGGGUUAUGUAAAAGGUUAAAGAGAUUUGUAAAGCAAACGUUGACAAAUGAAAAGGUUUUUAAUGACUUUAUCUAGCAAAUUGAUGCUAUGCAACAUUCAUCUUUCGAGUCUGAAUAGAAACCGGAAACGCGUAUGUAUCAAUUUGAUUGUAAACUACGAAAUGAAUUCGGAAUUUCGAUACAAUAUUUCUUCACAGUAAACAUUUAAGUUUUAACUUUUUAACUUUUUUAAGUAAUUCUAUUUUAUUGUUGCAGCAGUACUAGGGUUAUUUGCGAUUAAAUAAUAUUAAUGUUUUAUGUCUUAUUGUGUACUUCUUAAAAAGGGGGUGCUGAUUGUGUAAGUCAAAAGAAAAGCACAUGUUCAACUUGUUAAAGUAAACUGUUUUCUUUGUAACUGGAUCAUUAGUUUAUUUAUUUAAUCUAAAUUAUCACAAGCAAUUUCUGAAACUUAUUUGAAAAAUUCAAUAAAUGAAUCAUAAAUCUUCAGAUAGUUUUCUCCUGUCUGGUUUGUUGAUCUACCUGUAAGAGCUCAGGAACAAGUGAUUAGUGAUCUUAAUCCAGAUAUCCCUCAGACGUUAAAACUUACUGAUUAGAUUAUAAUUUAAAAAAGCCUAAGGGUUAUGCAAUGACAUGCAUAUGAUGAUAAUUGCUAAGAAAAAUGGUGUCAGGCUAUAAAAACGAUAACAAUUUGAAUGAUGGCGGAAGCGAAUUUGACGAUGGAGCAGGACAUUUGACGAUGGCGCUAGACAUUUGAACAGUGUGGGUCGCCAUCAUUAAACAGGCCAUGGAGAUCCCUGGGUUACUGCAGCCUUUGUAUGAAUCAGGCAACAAUGAUAAAAAAUAAGGCAUUUGACAGCAGGCAAAUUGUUGACCUUUUGUAUUUUUCAGCUUUUCAUUGUUUAAAAUAAGUGCUGUGUUCGUUUUUUGUCAAUGAACUACAUCCAAUAAUAUUUACCAUUAUAAUGAAUUAAAAGUAUCAUGAUUUUAAGCUUAAAAAACUUUUGAUUAAAGUUCCAAAAUUGAAAUGCAAACAACAUCGGAUGUGUUGAUUUAUAUCAGAAUGGGGACUUCUUUUGGAGCCACACAAAUGGUUAAUGCAUAGACCUAUUACACAAGUCCAAUUCCUAAUGUUGCUUAUUGGUGCCCCCCCUUUUAAAAUCCUGGAUUUGGAUCUGAACAAGCAUCUUUAAAAACAUACCAGAUAGAAUGUAACUAUUACAAAACCUGCUGGUGGUUAAAGGGGAUAGUAAAAUGUAUUUUAUAUUGCCUGGUUCAUACAGAGAAUUAAUGUUUAUGGAUUGAAAUGUAUAUGUGUUUGUGUGUGUUUGUGUGUGUUUGAUUUUGUCAUUCUCUAAGAAGUAAAAAGUUGAAAAAUUGUAAAAUAGUAGUUUGAUUUCAAAUAUUUAUUAUACUAAUUGUUACAUAUACAGGUUGUUGUUAAUAUUAUUUACUGCCAUAGUACUUCGGUGCAUUCAAGUGACUCUGAAAAAAAUGUGAUUAAGUCAAAUUCUAGUUUUCUGUUUUAAGAAAGGAUAUAGAUUUAAAUAUUGAAAGUUUGUUAAAGAGAAAUUGUUUCAUAAAAUGUAUAUUAAAUAUUCAACUAAAAAAAUUCCUUGACAGAUUUAAGAACAAGAUAUUUUUGUUGACCUAAACCACUUUUAUUAAACCAUUUAAUGGACAUUUUUUU
RNAcentral lists this long non-coding RNA (2115 nucleotides) under Mytilus galloprovincialis (Mediterranean mussel). The record is from RNAcentral. Lineage: Eukaryota; Metazoa; Mollusca; Bivalvia; Mytilida; Mytilidae.